This 499-nucleotide ribosomal RNA is filed under the name uncultured bacterium. Its description in RNAcentral is "partial 16S ribosomal RNA". It matches the Rfam family "Bacterial small subunit ribosomal RNA", at positions 28 to 507 of the family's 1533-position model. The record is from RNAcentral.
GACGAACGCUGGCGGCGUGCCUAAUACAUGCCAGUCGAGCGAAGUUUUUCUGGUGCUUGCACCGGAAAAACUUAGCGGCGAACGGGUGAGUAACACGUAAAGAACCUGCCUUAUAGACUGGGACAACUAUUGGAAACGAUAGCUAAUACCGGAUAACAGCAUUAACUGCAUGGUUGAUGUUUGAAAGUUGGUUUUGCUAACACUAUGAGAUGGCUUUGCGGUGCAUUAGCUAGUUGGUGGGGUAAAGGCCUACCAAGGCGACGAUGCAUAGCCGACCUGAGAGGGUGAUCGGCCACACUGGGACUGAGACACGGCCCAGACUCCUACGGGAGGCAGCAGUAGGGAAUCUUCCGCAAUGGGCGAAAGCCUGACGGAGCAACGCCGCGUGAGUGAAGAAGGAUUUCGGUUCGUAAAGCUCUGUUGUUAGGGAAGAAUGAUUGUGUAGUAACUAUACACAGUAGAGACGGUACCUAACCAGAAAGCCACGGCUAACUACGUG